Long non-coding RNA from Sinocyclocheilus rhinocerous, 689 nucleotides. RefSeq lists it as uncharacterized. The transcript has 3 exons. Lineage: Eukaryota; Metazoa; Chordata; Actinopteri; Cypriniformes; Cyprinidae. The record is from RefSeq and is a predicted model, not a curated record.
UGUGCUCGAAACAUUUCUCUCCGGAAUGUUUUUCAAGAACAUUGACUGGAAUCAGGAAGCUAAAGGAAGGUUCAGUUCCGUCAGUGUUUACCUGGACUCAACAGUCUUACAAAAGGAAAACCUUGCGAUCUUCUACGAAGGAUGGACCAAGCAACGAAGAAUGUCAUGUCACAGAGAUGCCAAACACCAAUCAUGACUACUGUGUGGAGCCCAUGACUACUGAGGAGCAGCUUGUGGCUGCACGGGAGGAAGUUUCUCGUAUGUCUGCGGAAAAUGAAGCACUCAAAAGUCAUCAGUUUGGCAUUCAGAAUUUUAUGGGUAAUCCAAAACUCAUCCAGUUUUACACUGGGUUCCCUGAUUAUGACACUUUAAGAGCCGUUUUCUUGGCUCUACAGCCCACAGCACAGAGCAUGGCCUCAUGGGCUCAAGUGCAAUGAAUUAGUGCAACCAACCAACACACACUGAGGGCUGGAUUCCAGGCACAACAUCUCUCCUUGUUUAAUCAGUUUUUCAUGUUUCUUUGCCGGAUUAGACUGGGCCUUCUUGAACAAGACCUUGCUCUGCGUUUCUAUAUUUUACAAAGUACAGUCAGUCGAAUCUGUGUUACCUGGGCAAAUUAUUUGUACUUCAUGCUGGGGAGUCUGCCUAUAUGGCCAAGUAGAGCUGCAGUUGACGAACUUAUGCAAGAG